Molecule: long non-coding RNA, 1133 nt
Organism: Tribolium castaneum (red flour beetle)
Lineage: Eukaryota; Metazoa; Arthropoda; Insecta; Coleoptera; Tenebrionidae
Exons: 3
Source: RefSeq, a predicted model, not a curated record
UCUGGCCAAGUUUUUAAUAGAAAAUAGAACCAAAGUUAAUUUUACAUUUAAAAAAAGCGAAAGUACGAAAAAUUUUGAUAUGGUGAAAUUAUUAGUGGAAAAUGGAGCCGAUGUUAACUUUAGGGAUGAUUAGGACUCGUAUUUAUUGUUUCAAUGUUUGCAAAUCAAUCGCGACAUGACUGAAUAUUUAAUAAGUAAAGGGGCCAAAAUGGAGUGGCAAUGUCUAGAAAAAAACACUGAACAUUUCUUCAGCAAAUGUUUAGAAAAUGUAGAACAGUGGAAAAUCGUUCUUAAAGAUAUUCUGUUGGAUCAGUUUGGGCCGGAAACAAUGGCAAAGGUAGUGAAAACAUAAUUUCUUGCUUGUGAAAUACUUCAUGGAGCAAGGACUUGAUGUAUAUAAUGAUCAGAGAAAAAUCUUCUUGGAAUAGUUGCAAGUAGAUGCAAUUUUCCUAUUGUCCAACUUUUGGUUGAUGCUGGCCUUGAUAUUGAAAUGGCCAAAGAAGAAAUGCAAUAUUUUGCCUGUCGCAACGUUUGAUGCUUAAACUCAAAGCUCGAUUCUUUACGACAAUGAAUGGUAGGGUCGGAAAAACUGUCGCCACAGGUAAGAUAUCUCUAGCCAGAAUUACUGAAAAAACGGCAAAAUGUAUUCAUGGAAAACCAUCACCGGAUGAACUCAAGAAAAACAUUAACCAAAGUAAUACAGAACGGGAAACAAUAAAUUCAUAAGUCAGCAACAAAUUGCGAAAAAAACAACUAUAAGGUGUGAAGAGAAAAAUAUUAGAACACAAAAUUCUGAAAAUAAACCAGAAUUGCAGGGAAAAUAGGAACCAAAAAAUUAGAAGGCUGUACUUAGUUAUUUAUACAGGCUGUUCCGUCUAAACCCCACAUUAGAAGUUUGGGAGUUCUAAUAAUGAUAGUCAUCUGAAAAUUUGUGUACAACAAUGAUAUUUUAGGUCCUGCUCAAUGAAAAUAUUUUCAAGAUGGCAGCACUUUUGGUUAUACCGGAAGUCGCUAACAACUUUCUUAUUUUAAAUGAAAAGCUAUAUUUUUUAACGCGUUUUUGAAUUACUAGAGUUAUUUAAGGUAGUUUUCAUAAGCUUUCCCUUUACCUGAAUUUAGCCGUUUACGAAAUA